CCUACGGGUGGCAGCAGUGAGGAAUAUUGGUCAAUGGGCGGAAGCCUGAACCAGCCAAGUAGCGUGCAGGAUGACGGCCCUACGGGUUGUAAACUGCUUUUAUACGGGAAUAACGUGCCUUACGUGUAGGGUUUUGCAUGUACCGCAUGAAUAAGGACCGGCUAAUUCCGUGCCAGCAGCCGCGGUAAUACGGAAGGUCCGGGCGUUAUCCGGAUUUAUUGGGUUUAAAGGGAGCGUAGGCCGCAUGUCAAGCGUGCUGUGAAAUGUCCGGACUCAACCCGGGCCUUGCAGCGCGAACUGGCGUGCUUGAGUCCGCGGAAAGCAGGCGGAAUUCGUCGUGUAGCGGUGAAAUGCUUAGAUAUGACGAAGAACCCCGAUUGCGAAGGCAGCUUGCUGCAGCGGAACUGACGCUGAUGCUCGAAAGCGCGGGUAUCGAACAGGAUUAGAUACCCCUGUAGUC
RNAcentral lists this ribosomal RNA (460 nucleotides) under uncultured bacterium. RNAcentral describes it as "partial 16S ribosomal RNA". It matches the Rfam family "Bacterial small subunit ribosomal RNA", at positions 338 to 795 of the family's 1533-position model. The record is from RNAcentral.